CCUACGGGGGGCUGCAGUGGGGAAUAUUGGACAAUGGGGGGAACCCUGAUCCAGCCAUGCCACGUGUGUGAAGAAGGCCCUCGGGUUGUAAAGCACUUUCAGUGAGGAAGAACGCCUGGUGGUUAAUACCCAUCAGGAAAGACAUCACUCACAGAAGAAGCACCGGCUAACUCCGUGCCAGCAGCCGCGGUAAUACGGAGGGUGCGAGCGUUAAUCGGAAUUACUGGGCGUAAAGCGCGCGUAGGUGGCUUGAUAAGCCGGUUGUGAAAGCCCCGGGCUCAACCUGGGAACGGCAUCCGGAACUGUCAAGCUAGAGUGCAGGAGAGGAAGGUAGAAUUCCCGGUGUAGCGGUGAAAUGCGUAGAGAUCGGGAGGAAUACCAGUGGCGAAGGCGGCCUUCUGGACUGACACUGACACUGAGGUGCGAAAGCGUGGGUAGCAAACAGGAUUAGAUACCCUGGUAGUC
Molecule: ribosomal RNA, 465 nt
Filed under: Vreelandella stevensii
Lineage: Bacteria; Pseudomonadati; Pseudomonadota; Gammaproteobacteria; Oceanospirillales; Halomonadaceae
Description: partial 16S ribosomal RNA
Rfam family: Bacterial small subunit ribosomal RNA
Source: RNAcentral